Non-coding RNA from Pelobates cultripes (western spadefoot toad), 64 nucleotides. The record is from the annotation of a GenBank genome assembly. NCBI's taxonomy places the organism in Eukaryota, Metazoa, Chordata, Amphibia, Anura, Pelobatidae.
ACAUUUGCCUGCAUUUGACUGCAUAAUUUAUGGUAGUGGGGGACUGCGUUUGCGCUUUCCCCUG